AGUGUGCUCUUCAGUUCGAGUUGGAUGUAAGGGUAUUUCGCACGGGGCACAUUCGCAAUGGCAGCCAGUUUAGGCUUUACCCUACUCGUCUUGUUCGCGGUACCACUGCUUGGCAAAUGCGAGCUGAGCCUGAAGCCCGGCUGCAAGGUGGAGACGCUGAGGGCUUGCGGUGACGACUUCAUACCCUAUAAAAAAGGCCCACACCUGCACGAGUCCGGGCAAGAGUUCGACGAAGGAUGCAAAAAGGACAAGACGCAGCUCCCUUGCACGCUGAAGUUUAUCAACGAUUGCACGGACGGGUUGUCGAAAGCCGCGGCACUGGUGGCAGUGAAGGCUCUGGAAGAGAACGUCGAGGCUGCCUGUAACGUAGGCUCGGAGCCGUACAACAAAUACCAGAAAGCAAUCAAGUGUAUGAAUUCUCAAGGGGAAAAACUCCACAAGUGCAUCAGUGACUUCAAAAGUAUUCUGGAACGCGCUGUGGUCAAGGCACCUACCAAGGACGUCAUUCAUCACACCUGCUGCUCCUAUUCGCAGACGGUGGAUUGCCUAUAUAACGCACUGGCGCCAUGCAAGAGCGUCGGCGCCCAGGAUUAUAUGGUCGGAAUCGUCGAGGAGAUGUUUGGCGAGACGCUGAACUUGGUCUGUGGUCGCUACAAGAAGGGCUCGACGGAAUGCAAGUCCCUGCCGCAGCUGCCGCGUCUCGGUGCCAAAGAUCGCAGACUGGACAACGUCGUCGAGAUCCUCUUGGAAGCCGCCGGCACACUGGGAAGGAAAAACUAGAGCCUCGUGUUUAUGUAAAUAGUUAUGUUUGAAUCACUGGAAAGGAUGGACACAAAUACAGCUAGUCGGCAAGGUUAGUUGCACUCGCGUGACGUCUCCGUUUGAGUGUUCACUUCGAGACAAGACAGGCAGGAUUAGGAAACAUCGCUGUGUGUUCUGUUCGACAUUCAUGCCCAACAUCUUGGCACGCAACACACAGAAUAGAAUGAACUUGUCCUAAAUGUCUUUGUUCACAUAAGAAGCCCGCGCGCAUUCGUCUAAGUACAUUACAAGGCGUGGUAAUCGGUGCCUACCAAAUUAAAUGAAAGUAAUCUGAAUGUAGACGUAAAAAAGUAAAAAUAUCUUGCUCAUUUCCAGGCACACAGAACUCGGCCACUUUUACGAGGCAGUUUCACACGCGCGUCCUGUAUUGGUUGCCAAAAAAAAACUUCACAAAAAUUGAUGCUUGAACAGUGCUAAGCGAAGAAAGGGUUUGCGCUUCCUGCGGGAGUGACCUUUGUUCACUGUAUUAUUUUUCUCUCGAGAAAAUAAAAGUCUAUGUUAUUUUGAAUU
Rhipicephalus sanguineus (brown dog tick) is the source of this 1332-nucleotide RNA transcript. RefSeq lists it as uncharacterized. Lineage: Eukaryota; Metazoa; Arthropoda; Arachnida; Ixodida; Ixodidae. The transcript has 6 exons. The record is from RefSeq and is a predicted model, not a curated record.